RNA transcript from Hemiscyllium ocellatum (epaulette shark), 5004 nucleotides. RefSeq lists it as uncharacterized. The record is from RefSeq and is a predicted model, not a curated record. Lineage: Eukaryota; Metazoa; Chordata; Chondrichthyes; Orectolobiformes; Hemiscylliidae. The transcript has 2 exons.
UGGGUUUGAUUCCAAUUCCUGAAAUUGUUUGGUAGUGUUCCUAGCUCUGGACCAGAAGGUGUGGAUUCAUGUCCUGCCUGCUGCAGAGGUAUGUCUCAGCAUGUCAUAACAGGCUGAUGAACAAACACAGUGAAUAAUGUUACAGCUUUAUGGGUAUUGCCGAGUGGUGCUCGUGUCCCUACCUCCGGGCACAAAGGUCUAGGUGUAAAUCCCACAGAAGUGUCUCCUAAUAUAUCUGAACAAACUGAUGAAACUGGUUUUAGAAUUGUGACUUGAUGGAGAAAGAACAGGUGUCAGUGUUGAAUUUCAGCAUUUCGGCCCAGGAUUAUUGAAAGUACAGCCAUUCGUGUUGAUUGGAGUCACAUUUCGCAGCAGGAAAGGUUUAUAAAAUCAGAAUGGUCAUGGAUAGGGUUUGUAGUCAAGGCUUUUCCCCAGGUUAGGGGCGUCCAAAACUAGAGGAUAUUGGUGGAAAGUGAGAGGGGAAAGGUUUUGAAGAGGCCUAAGGGGCACCUUUUCACACAGAGGGUGGUGUGCAUAUGGAAUGAGCUGCCAGAGGAAGUGGUGGAGGCUGGUACAACUACAUCAUGUAAAAGGCAUCUGGAUGCUGACAGACCUGGUGAGUUUUUCCAGCAAUUUCUGUAUUUGUUAAAACAAAGAAUUCAUUUUAACACAGGUAUCUGUGUUAGCUGGCUGGAUACAGAAUUGGCUGGCCAACAGAAGACAGUGAGUGGUAGUGGAAGGAAAAUAUUCUGCCCGGAAGUCUGUGGGACAUAUAAACAUAUCUUCAAAUCAACCGAGACCAUUUUCUGCUCAGGGUAUGGCUCUGUGUAUAACAGCAGCAAUGAUGCACCGACAUGGAACAGGGAAUGUGAUGGAGACAUCGUUUGGACAAUGUACAAGGAGACCUCACAUGGUCCAGUAUUGGGAGAGAAUGACAUUACUGUGUGAUUCAACUCAGAGAGGGAGACAAUGUCAUCUGCCAGAGAAGAAACAGCCUAUUGCACUCUCUCUCCUUCAUUAUUCCCCAUCACAGUAACGUGUACGAGCUAAAACAAAAGUCUACUGUCAUUGUUACCAUUCUUAUUUUUAUAGAAUCCUGCAGUGUGGAAACAAGCCCUUCGGCCCAACAAGUCCAUACCAACCUUCCAAAGAGUAACCUUCCCAUGCCCUUACAGUUACCACUGACUAGUGCACCUAAAGUAGAAAUCGCUGAACACUGUGGACUAUUUGACCAACCCACUUGAAUUAUACAGCUUUGGGCUGUGGGAGGAAAUGGGAGCGCCCAUCAGAAGCUCACGCAGACAAGGGGAGAAGAUGCAAACUCCACCCAGAUAGUCGCCCGAGGCUGGAAUUGAACUCAUAUCCCUGAUGCUGUGAUGGAACACUGCGAACUCCUGAGCCACUGUGCUAACCUGGAACCUCCUGACUGCCGAAUGCAAAGGGAAUUCAGCCCAAUUCCAACUGUGCCAGGAUAAAGUCCCAUUGCUAGCAGCUGUGUGAGUACAAUAUCUUCAGAAGCAGAAUAACAUUUUGGACAAUCUCUCAAUUUUUCCUUUUGUCAUUAGUUACACAAAUAUUUGGACAAGGUUCUUUAACGUGAAAUUGCAGAAAGUCUGUGUGUGUGUGUGUGUGUGUGUGUGUGUGUUUUUAGAACGGGAAAUAUCGAGUCUUUGUUUGCAAUAUCCAGUUUGCCAUUCAGCAUUCCAUCAUAGUUGGAGUAGCGUUGCUCUGGAUCAUAAACGUGCUAUUUGAGCAGAUUAUAGAAACUAGCCUGACUUGUUCCUAAAACUGACCCUGACCCAGUCUGAGACCAAUAUCAUCGGCCACAUCACCGACCUGGUUACAUUUAACAUUUGUGAACAGUGGAGGAGUGGGACUAGAAAAGGAGACAGUGACCCAAAAAGCCGGGGAACUAUAGACCGGUGAGCCUGAUGUCGGUGGUGGGUGAGUUGUUGGAGGGGAUUCUGGGGGAUAGCAUUUACAUACAUUUGGGAAGGUAAGGGCUGAUCGGGGUAGACAACGUGGCUUUCUGCAUGGGAAAUCAUGGGACAUUAAUUUGGUUGAGUUUUGUGAAGAGUUGAUACAGAAGAUUGAUGAAGGCAGUUUGGUAGAUAUUGUCAUUAUGGACCUCAGCAAGGUGUUCAUAACAUUCUGAUUGGUAGGCAGAUUAGUAAGGUUCGGUCACAUGGGAUACAGAAGAAGCUCAUCACAAUUGGCUUGAAGGAAGAGGGGUAUUUUUCAGCCUUGAGGCUUGUGAGCAGAAAUUGUACACUUAAUGGUAAGGGCCUGGUGAGUGUUCUGAAACAAAUGGACAUAGGGCUGCAGGUACCUUGUUCCUUGAAAGUGGAGUCGAAUGCAGACAGUGCAGUACAGAACACAUUUUACACAUUUGCCUUAAUCAGUCAGAGCAUUGAGUAUAGGGGUUGUGGUGGCAUGUUGCAUCUGUUCAGGAUGUUGGUGAGGCCACUUUAAGAAUACUGCGUACAACUCGGUUUUCUGCAGAAAAGAUUUACACAGAUGUCCCAGGACUGGAGGUUUGCGCUUUAGGGAGAGGAUGAUUAGUUUGAGGUGUUUCCACCUGGAGUGUCAGAGCUUGAAGGGUAACAUUAUAGAGGUUUAUAUAAUCAUCAGGGACAUAGAUAUUCUGAACAGAUAUGUUCUGCUCCCCAGGGUAGGGGACUCCAGAACAGGAGUGCAUAGUUUGAAGAGGUGAGGACAAAUGACUUAGAAGGGACCUGAAGAUAAAUGUUUCACACAGAGAGUGGUGUGUGUACCGAAAGUGCUGUCAGAGGAAGUGGUGAAGGCAGUUACAAUCGCACAUUUAAAAAGUAUCUGAAAGAGGAGGGAUAUUGGCCAAACGCUGGUAAAUGGGACUGGAUCAGAUGUGAUAUCAGCUCGUUGUGAACAGAUUAGACUAACAGGUCUAUUUCUGUUCUGCAUGACACUGAUUCUAUAAGAGGGAUGACAAAAAAUUCUGAAAGUAAUGUCCAAAUCAGAAUCCUCUUCACUGGAAGUUUAUCAUGCCUCUAUGUUCACAUUGAUUGACAGUUAUGUUAGUGAAAUAUUUGACAGAGAACUGAGUCAUGGAUAAUGGGACGCAGACAGGAAAGUGGGGCUGAGACCACAACCUGAUCAGCCACAAUCUUAGUGCCUGGUGGAGAAGGUUCAACGUAUCUAAUGACUCACUUCUGUCCCUCAAUCCCAUGUUUCUGUGUUCCAUUCAGACCAUUAAACCUGUUAGGCAGGAGCAUUUAGAGGCUACUUACUUCUAUAACCUGGUGCACAGAAACCGAGGAGAUCAUUCGGCCCUUUAAGGGUGUCCCACACGGUUUGAGGUGAUUUGAGAAGUGUACUUAUAAAACCCAAGCUGGGUAUGAAAGAGGCCCCUCAUCUCUCUGUACAGAGCUUCCUCUCUCUGAAACUUGUGCUCUAUUUCUUGGUCAUAUUGUAGACCCAAAUUCACUAUGAAUACAGCCCCCAUACCUCACCCAGCGAUGGCUCACAAAAUCCUCUUGUCUCCCUGACGGCAACAUUCAAUAACAGAACAUUCAUGAAAAUAUCACCCACUAACUUUCCAAUAACAGAACGUGAGAACAUCAGACACUGGGGCAGGUCGUUCACUCCCCAACCCUGCCUUGCCCUUCACUAAGAUCAUGACGGAUCUGUUCUCGGUCUGAAAUCCUCUUUCAAACCCAAUUCCUCAUCGCCCUCAACUCUCUGUCAGGUCAUUAUCCAUCUACCUCCUCUUCAAUUACUUUCAGUCAUCUGGCUCCGCGAACACUGUUGAGAAGAGAAACCCUGACAUUCAAUGCCACCUGUUUGAAGAAACCCCUUGCUGCUCCUAUACCAUGGCCUAUUGAUAUGAACAAAAGAGGUUGACACAAGGGGUGAGGUAAAAAUGAUUGACCCUGAUAUCAAGGCUUCUGUUGACAUCAAGGAGCUGAACAAAUCUGAACUUAAUGGAAUCAGAGAAAACUCUCCAGUGUUUGGAGUCAAACAUGGCACAAAGGAAGAUGUUCAUCAUCUCAGUCCUGGGUCACCUCUGUGGGAGAUCCUCAGGGUAGCUUCCUCUUCACAAACAUCUUCAGCUGCUUCAUCAAUGUCUCCCCACCCUCACUCUCCCCGCCAUAAGAUCAGAAGUGGGGAUGGUCACCUAGGAUUCCACAAUGUUCAGAAUAAUUUGACGCCCCCGUCAGCUCCUGAACUGGACUGCGUCCAUGUGCAGCAAGACAUGGACUCCAUUGAGGCUUGUGCUUUUAAAGAGUCUGUAACAUUCAUAUAAAGGACUGUCUGACACUACACAUUGCCACAGUAAACUAAGAGUUCAUUCCGCACCUUACACUGGUUUCACAGGAAUAUGAGGAGGUCAUUCAACCCAUUGACACUAUUAGAGAAGAACAGGGACAGCCCAUUCAGUGCCUCCAACAUAUUACUCAAGAAGGGAAGGAUUCUAGUGUGAUGGGCCACACCAGAGCCCCUCGACAAUAUUUGAAGGCGGUAGCCUAGACUCUAAUGUUUUCUUAUUUUAAAGAAAAUGUAAAAUGUCUGUUCCAGAUGCAAUGUUACUGGACAAACAACUCGGUGUGAAGCAUAACCCCAUUUGCUUAAAUACGAUAGAUGAAAUAAAACCAAAGAAAGAAGAAUUUAGAAUAAUGUAUUUAUAUUGGACAAGUUAACAGAACAAUAGAUCUAGGAACUAAUACUAAUGAACUGUUCCAAUACUGGAAAAUCACAUGAACACAGCCCUUGGAAAAAAGGAAUAUUCAGACACUGAAUGACACAAAUAUUUCUCCAAUUCAGGAUUUAAAAACAGCACCAAGAGAAAAUUCAUAGAGAGGAGCUGCCAGGAGACAUUCACUAAAACUUUCAACUCGGUGGAGACCCCAAUAAUUUCUGAUGUUACUGAGAAACCGAAACCCAGAAAUCCUAAUCUGUGAAAGCUGACCACACCCAUUCCAUCUGCAUUAAAAUAAACCCAAGGCAUCACUAGUUGUUUAUUCAAGU